Molecule: ribosomal RNA, 500 nt
Filed under: uncultured archaeon
Lineage: Archaea
Description: bacterial SSU rRNA
Rfam family: Archaeal small subunit ribosomal RNA
Source: RNAcentral
AAACUCUACAAUGCAGGAGACUGCGAUAGGGGGACAUCGAGUGGCAUCCACCUUGGGCCUGUCCCCCGUACGGUGGUAGCAAGGGCCGGCAAGACCGGUGCCAGCCGCCGCGGUAAUACCGGCGGCUCGAGUGGUGGCCGAUAUUAUUGAGUCUAAAGGGUCCGUAGUCGGCUUUGGAGUCCCCUGGGAAAUCCAGCGGCUUAACCGUUGGGCUCCAUGAGAUACUGCUUUGCUUGGGACUGGGAGAGGUAGGAGGUACUCAAGGGGUAGGAGUGAAAUCCUGUAAUCCUUUGGGGACCACCGGUGGCGAAGGCGUCCUACCAGAACAGUCCGACGGUGAGGGACGAAAGCUGGGGGCACGAACCGGAUUAGAUACCCGGGUAGUCCUAGCCGUAAACGAUGCUCGCUAGGUGUCACGUGGUGCCGUAGGGAAGCCGUGAAGCGAGCCACUUGGGAAGUACGACCGCAAGGUUGAAACUUAAAGGAAUUGGCGGGGGAGC